AUGGCAGCCUCUGGGAGGGUUGUUCUGGUCAAGGCGGUUCUCACCGCCAUAGCUAUCUACAGCAUUACUUCGCCGAUCCUGCCAGCGGAGGUGAUGAAGCGCAUUGAUGCCUUACGACGUGCAUUCUUUUGGGCCGGUUGCGACAAAGUCACUGGUGGCAAGUGUAAAAUCAAUUGGGAUAGAGUUUGCAGUCCUAAAGCUAUGGGCGGUCUGGGUGUCCUAAGCCUUGACAAAUUUGCCACUGCCCUCCGCUUGAGGUGGCUUUGGAACGAGUGGGCGGAGCAGCCAAAGCCGUGGGUUGGGUUAGGCACCCCUUGCACCGAGACUGACAGGGACCUUUUCACGGCAGCAACGAGGGUCAUGGUUGGAAACGGAGACAAGGCUUGCUUCUGGACGUCCCCCUGGCUUGAUGGUCUCAGGCCGAUGGACAUCGCCCCUAAAAUCUUUGAGAUCCCCCAAAAGAAAGAUUGUUCUGUCAGGAAGGCCCUCACUGAUGAUCUAUGGAUUUCGCAAGUUGACAUGGCAAAUGGCAUUUCCGCCGGGCACAUACAGGAGUUUACCAUCCUUUGGGAGAAGUUGGAUGGGAUAACCUUAGAUCAAGCCACGAAUGACACGAUCAUUUGGAAACUUACAGAGCGCGGUAUCUACUCCACUUCAUCAGCCUAUUCGCUACAGUUCGAGGGGCGCACCUCCACACCACUUCUAAAGACCGUUUGGAAAGUCUGGGCUACACCAAAAUGCAAGUUCUUCGCUUGGUUGAUCAUUCACAACAGAGUGUGGACGGCAGAUAGGCUACAACGGAGAGGGUGGCCAAACUGCGGUUUGUGUCCCCUUUGUAGCCAAGUCCAGGAGUCAGCGGCGCAUCUCCUAUUCCAAUGCUGA
RNAcentral lists this ribosomal RNA (882 nucleotides) under Triticum aestivum (bread wheat). Its description in RNAcentral is "partial small subunit ribosomal RNA". The record is from RNAcentral. Lineage: Eukaryota; Viridiplantae; Streptophyta; Magnoliopsida; Poales; Poaceae.